Molecule: ribosomal RNA, 491 nt
Filed under: uncultured bacterium
Lineage: Bacteria
Description: bacterial SSU rRNA
Rfam family: Bacterial small subunit ribosomal RNA
Source: RNAcentral
GACGAACGCUGGCGGCGUGCUUAACACAUGCAAGUCGAACGAGAGGAGAAGGAAGCUUGCUUCUUUCAGAUCUAGUGGCAAACGGGUGAGUAACACGUAAACAACCUGCCUUCAGGAUGGGGACAACAGACGGAAACGACUGCUAAUACCGAAUACGUUCCUUAGGUCGCAUGACUUUAGGAAGAAAGGGUGGCCUCUACUUGUAAGCUAUCGCCUGAAGAGGGGUUUGCGUCUGAUUAGGUAGUUGGUGAGGUAACGGCCCACCAAGCCGACGAUCAGUAGCCGGUCUGAGAGGAUGAACGGCCACACUGGAACUGAGACACGGUCCAGACUCCUACGGGAGGCAGCAGUGGGGAAUAUUGCACAAUGGAGGAAACUCUGAUGCAGCGACGCCGCGUGAGCGAUGAAGUAUUCGGUAUGUAAAGCUCUAUCAGCAGGGAAGAUAAUGACGGUACCUGACUAAGAAGCUACCGGCUAAAUACGUGCCAGCA